This 926-nucleotide ribosomal RNA is filed under the name uncultured bacterium. RNAcentral's name for it is "bacterial SSU rRNA". It matches the Rfam family "Bacterial small subunit ribosomal RNA", at positions 337 to 1294 of the family's 1533-position model. The record is from RNAcentral.
UCCUACGGGAGGCAGCAGUGGGGAAUCUUGCACAAUGGGCGAAAGCUGAUGCAGCAACGCCGCGUGCGGGAAGACGGCCCUAGGGUUGUAAACCGCUUUCAGCAGGGAAGAAAAUGACGGUACCUGCAGAAGAAGGUGCGGCCAACUACGUGCCAGCAGCCGCGGUGACACGUAGGCACCAAGCGUUAUCCGGAUUUAUUGGGCGUAAAGAGCUCGUAGGCGGUUCGGUAAGUCGGGUGUGAAAACUCUGGGCUCAACCCAGAGAUGCCACCCGAUACUGCUGUGACUAGAGUGCAGUAGGGGAGCAGGGAAUUCAUGGUGUAGCGGUGAAAUGCGCAGAUAUCAUGAGGAACACCAGUGGCGAAGGCGCUGCUCUGGGCUGUAACUGACGCUGAGGAGCGAAAGCGUGGGUAGCAAACAGGAUUAGAUACCCUGGUAGUCCACGCCGUAAACGUUGGGCACUAGGUGUGGGUCUCAACCAACGAGAUCCGCGCCGUCGCUAACGCAUUAAGUGCCCCGCCUGGGGAGUACGGUCGCAAGACUAAAACUCAAGGAAUUGACGGGGCCCACAAGCAGCGGAGCGUGUUGCUUAUUGACACCAAGAACCUUACCUGGGUUUGACAUGUACCGAAAAGCUCUAGAGAUAGGGUGUCCUUCGGGGCGGUACACAGGUGGUGCAUGGCUGUCGUCAGCUCGUGUCGUGAGAUGUUGGGUUAAGUCCCGCAACGAGCGCAACCCUUAUCCUAUGUUGCCAGCAAGUCAUUUGGGGACUCGUAGGAGACUGCCGGGGUCAACUCGGAGGAAGGUGGGGAUGACGUCAAGUCAUCAUGCCCCUUAUGCCCAGGGCUGCAAACACGCUACAAUGGCCGGUACAAAGGGCUGCGAUCCCGCGAGGGUGACGAAUCCCACAAAGCCGGUCUCAGUUC